This 253-nucleotide ribosomal RNA is filed under the name uncultured bacterium. RNAcentral's name for it is "partial 16S ribosomal RNA". It matches the Rfam family "Bacterial small subunit ribosomal RNA", at positions 524 to 776 of the family's 1533-position model. The record is from RNAcentral.
UACGGAGGGUGCAAGCGUUGCUCGGAAUUAUUGGGCGUAAAGGGUAGGUAGGUGGUCUCGUUUGUCUGGGGUGAAAGCCUUGAGCUUAACUCAAGAAGUGCCCCAGAAACGGCGAGACUAGAGUCCUGGAGAGGGUCGUGGAAUUCCUGGUGUAGCGGUGAAAUGCGCAGAUAUCAGGAGGAACACCGGUGGCGAAGGCGGGUCUCUGGGCCGAUACUGACGCUGAGGAGCGAAAGCGUGGGGAGCAAACAGG